GAUGAACGCUGGCGGCGUGCCUAAUACAUGCAAGUCGAGCGAACAGACGAGGAGCUUGCUCCUCUGACGUUAGCGGCGGACGGGUGAGUAACACGUGGAUAACCUACCUAUAAGACUGGGAUAACUUCGGGAAACCGGAGCUAAUACCGGAUAAUAUAUUGAACCGCAUGGUUCAAUAGUGAAAGACGGUUUUGCUGUCACUUAUAGAUGGAUCCGCGCCGCAUUAGCUAGUUGGUAAGGUAACGGCUUACCAAGGCAACGAUGCGUAGCCGACCUGAGAGGGUGACCGCCCCACCUGGACUGGAGCACGGUCCAAGAUUCCAAGGGGAGCAAGCAGUAGGGAAUCUCCGGCAAUGGGCGAAAGCUUGCCGGACCAACGCCGCGUGAGUAAUGAAGGUCUCCGGAUCUUAAAACUCUGUUAUUAGGGAAGAAAAAAUGUGAAGGUAACUAUCCCCGUCUUGACGUUACCUAAUCAGAAGCCACGGCUAACUACGUG
Molecule: ribosomal RNA, 496 nt
Filed under: uncultured bacterium
Lineage: Bacteria
Description: partial 16S ribosomal RNA
Rfam family: Bacterial small subunit ribosomal RNA
Source: RNAcentral